RNAcentral lists this ribosomal RNA (182 nucleotides) under uncultured bacterium. RNAcentral's name for it is "partial 16S ribosomal RNA". It matches the Rfam family "Bacterial small subunit ribosomal RNA", at positions 1319 to 1500 of the family's 1533-position model. The record is from RNAcentral.
CAUGAAGCUGGAAUCGCUAGUAAUCGCGGAUCAGAAUGCCGCGGUGAAUACGUUCCCGGGUCUUGUACACACCGCCCGUCACACCAUGGGAGUCGGAAAUGCCCGAAGUCUGUGACCCAACCUUAGGGAGGGAGCAGCCGAAGGCAGGUCGGAUGACUGGGGUGAAGUCGUAACAAGGUAUC